Molecule: transfer RNA, 72 nt
Filed under: Ictidomys tridecemlineatus (thirteen-lined ground squirrel)
Lineage: Eukaryota; Metazoa; Chordata; Mammalia; Rodentia; Sciuridae
Description: Spermophilus tridecemlineatus (thirteen-lined ground squirrel) tRNA
Rfam family: tRNA
About the family: Transfer RNA (tRNA) molecules are approximately 80 nucleotides in length. Their secondary structure includes four short double-helical elements and three loops (D, anti-codon, and T loops).
Source: Rfam by way of RNAcentral
UGGGGUGUGGCUCAGCAGUUGAGCACUUGCCUUGCACAUAGGAGGCCCUGGGUUCGAUCCUCAGUACCACAU